CCAUUCCCCGGAGCGGCGCCUUCAGCCGCCGGAGUUCCAGUCCCCGGAGCGGCGCCUUCAGCCGCCGGAGUUCCAGUCCGCGGAGCGGC
RNAcentral lists this transfer RNA (89 nucleotides) under Streptomyces chromofuscus. Its description in RNAcentral is "tRNA-Trp". Lineage: Bacteria; Bacillati; Actinomycetota; Actinomycetes; Kitasatosporales; Streptomycetaceae. The record is from RNAcentral.